GAAUGAAGUGAACUGCACUAGAGGUCAAGGUAUUAUGCCGUGCCAAAUGACAGGACAUCAUAAAACCGCCAAGUCAUUGUCCACUGUGGGCAUGUGGCACAUUUUCUCUCUGUCCAUCCGGCGAUGGGCUCUUCGACGAUCCAGCCUGGCUUCUUCCAGUAAGUAACUGCUUAGUGAAUGGAGCUCACCCGACAGUUCACCCGGGCAGUUAAACCAGUCCUGUGCCGUCAGGCCAGCACAAUCCAGCCACCAUCCCCAGUGUCCUCUGUGCAGAGCGGCUUCUAAAAUAACAUGAGUUCAAAGAGCUUCCAGGGAAUAUUUUUACAAUCUGUUCCACCGGAUGACAGAGGGAAAGGGGCCUCAGCUGGUGAUGUUUGUCUCCUUAAUCA
This 389-nucleotide long non-coding RNA is filed under the name Marmota monax (woodchuck). Lineage: Eukaryota; Metazoa; Chordata; Mammalia; Rodentia; Sciuridae. The record is from RNAcentral.